Molecule: ribosomal RNA, 544 nt
Filed under: Shewanella sp. P29CIFT
Lineage: Bacteria; Pseudomonadati; Pseudomonadota; Gammaproteobacteria; Alteromonadales; Shewanellaceae
Description: bacterial SSU rRNA
Rfam family: Bacterial small subunit ribosomal RNA
Source: RNAcentral
CCUAGGGAUCUGCCCAGUCGAGGGGGAUAACAGUUGGAAACGACUGCUAAUACCGCAUACGCCCUACGGGGGAAAGGAGGGGACCUUCGGGCCUUCCGCGAUUGGAUGAACCUAGGUGGGAUUAGCUAGUUGGUGAGGUAAUGGCUCACCAAGGCGACGAUCCCUAGCUGUUCUGAGAGGAUGAUCAGCCACACUGGGACUGAGACACGGCCCAGACUCCUACGGGAGGCAGCAGUGGGGAAUAUUGCACAAUGGGGGAAACCCUGAUGCAGCCAUGCCGCGUGUGUGAAGAAGGCCUUCGGGUUGUAAAGCACUUUCAGUAGGGAGGAAAGGGUGAGUCUUAAUACGGCUUAUCUGUGACGUUACCUACAGAAGAAGGACCGGCUAACUCCGUGCCAGCAGCCGCGGUAAUACGGAGGGUCCAAGCGUUAAUCGGAAUUACUGGGCGUAAAGCGUGCGCAGGCGGUUUGUUAAGCGAGAUGUGAAAGCCCCGGGCUCAACCUGGGGAAUUGCAUUUCGAACUGGCAAACUAGAGUCUUGUAGA